Molecule: ribosomal RNA, 1281 nt
Filed under: uncultured bacterium
Lineage: Bacteria
Description: partial 16S ribosomal RNA
Rfam family: Bacterial small subunit ribosomal RNA
Source: RNAcentral
AGUGGCGAACGGGUGAGUAACGCGUGAGGAACCUGCCUCAAAGAGGGGGGACAACAGUUGGAAACGACUGCUAAUACCGCAUAAGACCACGGUUUCACAUGGAACUGAGGUAAAAGAUUUAUCGGUUUGGGGUGGGCUCGCGUCCGAUUAGGUAGUUGGUGAGGUAACGGCCCACCAAGCCGACGAUCGGUAGCCGACCUGAGAGGGUGAUCGGCCACAUUGGGACUGAGACACGGCCCAAACUCCUACGGGAGGCAGCAGUGGGGAAUAUUGGGCAAUGGAGGAAACUCUGACCCAGCAACGCCGCGUGCGGGACGGAGGCCUUCGGGUCGUAAACCGCUUUCAGCAGGGAAGAGUCAAGACUGUACCUGCAGAAGAAGCCCCGGCUAACUACGUGCCAGCAGCCGCGGUAAUACGUAGGGGGCGAGCGUUAUCCGGAUUCAUUGGGCGUAAAGCGCGCGUAGGCGGCCCGGCAGGCCGGGGGUCGAAGCGGGGGGCUCAACCCCCCGAAGCCCCCGGAACCUCCGCGGCUUGGGUCCGGUAGGGGAGGGUGGAACACCCGGUGUAGCGGUGGAAUGCGCAGAUAUCGGGUGGAACACCGGUGGCGAAGGUGGCUUACUGGACGGUAACUGACGUUGAGGCUCGAAAGCGUGGGGAGCAAACAGGAUUAGAUACCCUAGUAGUCCAUGCCGUAAACGAUGAUUACUAGGUGUGGGGAGAUUGACCCUCUCCGUGCCGCAGUUAACACAAUAAGUAAUCCACCUGGGGAGUACGACCGCAAGGUUGAAACUCAAAGGAAUUGACGGGGGCCCGCACAAGCAGUGGAGUAUGUGGUUUAAUUCGAAGCAACGCGAAGAACCUUACCAGGUCUUGACAUCCAACGACCGCUUAAGAGAUUAAGCUUUCCUUCGGGACGUUGAGACAGGUGGUGCAUGGUUGUCAUCAGCUCGUGUCGUGAGAUGUUGGGUUAAGUCCCGCAACGAGCGCAACCCUUAUCGUCAGUUACUACGCAAGAGGACUCUGGCGAGACUGCCGUUGACAAAACGGAGGAAGGUGGGGAUGACGUCAAAUCAUCAUGCCCUUUAUGACCUGGGCUACACACGUACUACAAUGGCUGCAAACAAAGAGAAGCGAAGCCGCGAGGCAGAGCAAACCUCAUAAACGCAGUCUCAGUUCGGAUUGCAGGCUGCAACCCGCCUGCAUGAAGCCGGAAUUGCUAGUAAUCGCGGAUCAGCAUGCCGCGGUGAAUACGUUCCCGGGCCUUGCACACACCGCCCGUCA